CCCGCGUCCGGGCCACUAGCGCCGCGCGGACAAAGACCCGGGCGCGGGGAGGGGCCGGCCCGCGGGGAAGGACAAUGCCGCCGGGGCCGGCGCUCCCCACCCCCCGCCCUCGCCCUCGCCCAGCCCAGCCCUAGUCCCGCCCCGUCCCGUCCCGGGCCCGCCCCUGUCCCGGCGGCGCCGGGAAGUGGCCGCUCCUCGCCCGGCCGCGACUGCGGGGCCCGCCGCAAACUUUGCGCGGGGCCGGGGGCAGCUCUGCCCGCACGUGCCCCGCGCGCUCUCCUGGCGGGUCGGCCCCGGCGUGUCCGAGCCCGGAGCAGGCGGCGCGAGGGACGGGAGCAGCUGCAGGUGCAGCGGCAGGCACAGCUUCAUCAAGAGAUAGGAGUGAGCUGAUGUGGUCUGAAAUACAACUGUAAAACUGCCUGAUGUCUUCUAAAAAUGUUGCAGCUAAAUGAUCUUGUGAACUUCCCCUUCUAAUUCCUACUCAAUGCACGGACAAAAGGACAAAAUUUGGACUCUUGGAAAAUUUGCCAAAGACUUUUAUGAUAAAUAAACGUGCAGUGUUUUAUUUC
Alligator mississippiensis (American alligator) is the source of this 569-nucleotide long non-coding RNA. RefSeq lists it as uncharacterized. Lineage: Eukaryota; Metazoa; Chordata; Crocodylia; Alligatoridae. The transcript has 2 exons. The record is from RefSeq and is a predicted model, not a curated record.